Molecule: non-coding RNA, 20 nt
Filed under: Arabidopsis thaliana (thale cress)
Lineage: Eukaryota; Viridiplantae; Streptophyta; Magnoliopsida; Brassicales; Brassicaceae
Source: RNAcentral
GGGAUGUAGCUCAGAUGGUA